AAGCGACAGGCUGUGAACAGCUCUGCAACCAUAGCAUUUAAUUUAGAAGUCAGCACUUGACACAUUGAAGUAUUUGGAAUUCCUGAAGUCUGGCUGUCUGCACAGUUGCAUAAUUUGAACAGGAAUAACCUACUUACAACCAGGCAAGAUAGAAAAAAAAUACACGAAGACACUCCUCCCUCUAAACUUGACACUCAGAAAAAGAGGAAUUCUCUCACCCUGUUAAAAAACAAGAACAACAACAAAAAAAACAACAGUGCAAAACCUUCUGCGUGGGAAAGCAAAAGUGAUCCCUCCUCCUCACAGCUCUAUCUUAAAUAGAUUCACUCAGACCCAGGCAACCUCUCCAGGCACAUCACGCCUUGGAUCUGCGUUACACAUGGAUAUCAAGAUGCAACAGGAGAGCUCAAUGGCAGAAGAGCAGCACAUGUGAAAUGCCCCAUGAGACUCCUGGACACCAGCCUGUGCCAGGCAGCCAUUCCCACCCAGUAUCACCUUGCAGGGUUCACAGACAGUCCCACGUCACUCCAUGUACAACAACUUGCUGCUAGAAACCAGAGGUCAGCUCAGCAGGUGGGCUGGGUGACCUCCACCUAAAGAGAAGCCAGGAGAAAAGAAUGGAGAAAACACAGGAGGCAAACGUAUAAGUGGGAAAGCUGAGAAAUUUCCCUCAUGAUAAUAUGGCAAACCUAGGACUUCGUGUGAGGAAAAGAGUGAAUGCUAGAGCUUCUGGAAACAUGUGAGAAAGGCUGAAUGGGAACUGUCUCUUGACAGACAAGAAUCAGGAGACUUCCAAAUUACAUGUGUGACUAGAGAAAAGAAAUGCAGUGCAUUUUUGACCAGUGAUGUCCAACUUGAGAUCUGCAGAUGCUUAGGGAAGACACACAGUACUCCCAUGUAGAAAAGCAAUCCAGAUGCACCCACAAACUGCAGGGCACAGCUGGGUGACCCCUCUGGCACACACAGCAAGGAGUACCACACAUGGGAGCAGGCACCCAGCAAUGCCAUGAGGUGUCUAUGGGAACAGAUAGGACACUAGAAGACAACAGAAGCCUCCUGCUUGGGAAUGUGCAGGAGAAAUGCCUGCAUUCCAAAGGCUGGGGGCAAAACAUCAAGGUGUGCAAACACGUGUGGGAUGUGCCAGCUCUUGGUCAAUGGGAUAACCAGCUCUUGUAGACAGUCAAUGGGAUAACCAUUACAGAAGGCACAGCAGGCUGCCCUCAGAAGUGGUAACCCCAAAGUGCAGGGAGAUGAAGGAGCUGCCAGCAGGUCUGCAGGAAGACGUGUGUUCCUCUAUUGGGGUGGAAGAACUCACAGAAUGGGCAGGGUUGGAAGGGACUUCAAGGAUCAUGAAGUUCCAAAUCCUCCUACCACAUGAAGGGCCACCAACCUCCCUGCCCAGGGCCCCAUCCAACCUGGCCUUGAACACCUCCAGGGAUGGACAAGGCAUCCACAGCCUCUUUGGGCAGCUGUUCCAGCACUUCAUCAUUCUCAAUAACUCAGAGGUUUCUGAGGACAGGACAAAGCCCCCCGGGUCGGCUGUGCUCCAUGGGCUGCAGCGGCCCAGCACACUCAUGCACGAAAAGCAGCACGGGGGGCUCCAGAAGCCAGCAAGAUCCCCAGCUUGAGCGUUCCUACACAAGAAACGACAGGCUCCGAGCAGCCAAAAGCACCACCUCCCCUCUCCGCAUCCCCAUGUG
Non-coding RNA from Meleagris gallopavo (turkey), 1700 nucleotides. Lineage: Eukaryota; Metazoa; Chordata; Aves; Galliformes; Phasianidae. The record is from RefSeq and is a predicted model, not a curated record.